CACACGACUCUCGGCAACGGAUAUCUCGGCUCUCGCAUCGAUGAAGAACGUAGCGAAAUGCGAUACCUGGUGUGAAUUGCAGAAUCCCGCGAACCAUCGAGUCUUUGAACGCAAGUUGCGCCCGAGGCCACUUGGCCGAGGGCACGCCUGCCUGGGCGUCACGU
RNAcentral lists this ribosomal RNA (164 nucleotides) under Dactylis glomerata (orchard grass). RNAcentral describes it as "5.8S ribosomal RNA". It matches the Rfam family "5.8S ribosomal RNA". Rfam says of the family: 5.8S ribosomal RNA (5.8S rRNA) is a component of the large subunit of the eukaryotic ribosome. The record is from RNAcentral. Lineage: Eukaryota; Viridiplantae; Streptophyta; Magnoliopsida; Poales; Poaceae. RNAcentral also lists the same sequence under 1 other name.